GUUGGUGAUUGAUUGUACUGCAGUUGAGCUGCAGAGCAAGGAAGGAGAGAGUACUGAAACUUCUGGUCAGAAGGAUGUGGAAAAACAAACCGAGGCAGGCAGACAAAUUCCUGAAACUUCUGGGAUUCAGGGUGCGAGGAAAGAAGGUGGUGGUAGAAAGAAUCCUAGUGGGAGAAAAUCCAAAAAAAUCUGUUGAAGGAAACCAUUCGUCUAUUGGCAAAAG
This 223-nucleotide unclassified non-coding RNA is filed under the name Hevea brasiliensis (rubber tree). The record is from RNAcentral. Lineage: Eukaryota; Viridiplantae; Streptophyta; Magnoliopsida; Malpighiales; Euphorbiaceae.